Molecule: ribosomal RNA, 500 nt
Filed under: uncultured bacterium
Lineage: Bacteria
Description: partial 16S ribosomal RNA
Rfam family: Bacterial small subunit ribosomal RNA
Source: RNAcentral
AUUGAACGCUGGCGGCAUGCCUUACACAUGCAAGUCGAACGGCAGCGGGGACUUCGGUCCGCCGGCGAGUGGCGAACGGGUGAGUAAUGUAUCGGAACGUACCAUUGAGUGGGGGAUAACGUAGCGAAAGUUACGCUAAUACCGCAUAUUCUCUCCGAAGGAAAGCAGGGGACCGCAAGGCCUUGCGCUCUUUGAGCGGCCGAUAUCAGAUUAGCUAGUUGGUGAGGUAAAGGCUCACAAAGGCGACGAUCUGUAGCGGGUCAGAGAGGAUGAUCCGCCACACUGAAACUGAGACACGGUCCAGACUCAGACGGGGGGCAGCACUGGGAAAUUUUGGACAAUGGGGGCAACCCUGAUCCAGCCAUGCCGCGUGAGUGAAGAAGGCCUUCGGGUUGUAAAGCUCUUUCGGCCGGGAAAAAAUCGCAUGGGCUAAUACCCUGUGUGGAUGAUGGUACCGGAAUAAGAAGCACCGGCUAACUACGUGCCAGCCGCCGCGGUAA